Molecule: non-coding RNA, 849 nt
Filed under: Trachylepis sulcata sulcata
Lineage: Eukaryota; Metazoa; Chordata; Lepidosauria; Squamata; Scincidae
Description: partial 12S ribosomal RNA
Rfam family: Bacterial small subunit ribosomal RNA
Source: RNAcentral
GUUUUGGUCCUAAACUUGCCAUUGUUUUUUAUCAAAUUUACACAUGCAAGCUUCAACAACCCAGUGAAAUUGCCCGAAACCCCUAAACAGCUAUAAGGAGCAGGCAUCAGGACCCAGAACCAUCUAGCCCAAGACGCCUUGCUAUGCCACACCCACACGGGUACUCAGCAGUGAAUAACAUUAAGAAAUGAGCGAAAGCUCGACUUAGUUAUGAUAAAAAUGGCCGGUAGAUUUCGUGCCAGCCACCGCGGUUAUACGAGAGGCCAAAAACAAUGACCAACGGCGUAAAGCGUGACUAGAGCUCAUCAAACCCUUAAAGUAGUAUUACAUCAAAGUUGUAAAAUACCUUGAUUACUAGACUAUCAUUAAUAAAUAGACUUUAAGCAAAAGAUAUCUUAACUUCACGAAAGCUAAGGAACAAACUAGGAUUAGAUACCCUACUAUGCUUAGCCCUAAACAUAGAUAGUAAACACACAAUACUAUCCGCCAGAGAACUACCAGUGAAAAACUAGAAACUCUAAGGACUUGGCGGUGCUCCAUACCGACCUAGAGGAGCCUGUCCUAUAAUCGAUAAUCCACGCUACACCCCACCACCCCUUGCAACCCAGCUUAUAUACCGCCGUCGUCAGCCUACCUUGUGAAAGAACUAGAGUGGGCAAAAUAGUUAUUAACAAAAACGUCAGGUCAAGGUGUAGCCAAUGGGGUGGAAGAGAUGGGCUACACUUUCUACCUCAGAACACACGAAUAGCACAGUGAAACCUGAGCUUGAAGGCGGAUUUAGUAGUAAGGCAAACAAGAAAAUUUACCUGAAACCCGCUCUGGAGCGCGCACACACCGCCCGUCACCCUC